UUGCAGUUAAAAAGCUCGUAGUUGGAUUUCGGAGUGGGCCAGUUGGUCCGCCGCAAGGUGUGUUACUGACUGGUUUGCUCUUCUUCGCAAAGACUGCGUGUGCUCUUUGUUGAGUGUGCGUAGGAUUUACGACGUUUACUUUGAAAAAAUUAGAGUGUUCAAAGCAGGCUAUUGCUUGAAUACAUGAGCAUGGAAUAAUGGAAUAGGACUUUGGUCCCAUUUUGUUGGUUUCUAGGACCGAAGUAAUGAUUAAGAGGGACAAUUGGGGGCAUCCGUAUUUCGUUGUCAGAGGUGAAAUUCUUGGAUUUACGAAAGACGUACAACUGCGAAAGCACUUGCCAAGAGUGUUUUCAUUAAUCAAGAACGAAAGUUAGAGGAUCGAAGACGAUCAGAUACCGUCCUAGUUCUAACCAUAAACGAUGUCGACUAGGGAUCAGCGGGCGUUAUCGUACGACCCCCGUUGGCACCUUACGGGAAACCAAAGUUUCCUGGAUUCCGGGGGGAAGUAUAGUCGCAA
Molecule: ribosomal RNA, 517 nt
Filed under: uncultured marine eukaryote
Lineage: Eukaryota
Description: SSU rRNA
Rfam family: Eukaryotic small subunit ribosomal RNA
Source: RNAcentral